Molecule: ribosomal RNA, 463 nt
Filed under: Novosphingobium sp.
Lineage: Bacteria; Pseudomonadati; Pseudomonadota; Alphaproteobacteria; Sphingomonadales; Sphingomonadaceae
Description: bacterial SSU rRNA
Rfam family: Bacterial small subunit ribosomal RNA
Source: RNAcentral
UGAGUGAUGAAGGCCUUAGGGUNCGUAAAGCUCUUUUACCAGGGAUGAUAAUGACAGUACCUGGAGAAUAAGCUCCGGCUAACUCCGUGCCAGCAGCCGCGGUAAUACGGAGGGAGCUAGCGUUGUUCGGAAUUACUGGGCGUAAAGCGUACGUAGGCGGUUAUUCAAGUCAGAGGUGAAAGCCCGGGGCUCAACCCCGGAACGGCCUUUGAAACUAGAUAGCUAGAGUCUUGGAGAGGUCAGUGGAAUUCCGAGUGUAGAGGUGAAAUUCGUAGAUAUUCGGAAGAACACCAGUGGCGAAGGCGACUGACUGGACAAGUACUGACGCUGAGGUACGAAAGCGUGGGGAGCAAACAGGAUUAGAUACCCUGGUAGUCCACGCCGUAAACGAUGAUAACUAGCUGUCCGGGUACUUGGUAUCUGGGUGGCGCAGCUAACGCAUUAAGUUAUCCGCCUGGGGAGU